Molecule: ribosomal RNA, 401 nt
Filed under: uncultured bacterium
Lineage: Bacteria
Description: bacterial SSU rRNA
Rfam family: Bacterial small subunit ribosomal RNA
Source: RNAcentral
AACCUACCUAUCAGGAGGGGAAUAACCCGGCGAAAGUCGGACUAAUACCGCAUAAAACAGGGGCACCGCAUGGUGAUAUUUGUUAAAGAAAUUCGCUGAUAGAUGGGCGAUGCGUUCCAUUAGGUAGUUGGUGAGGUAACGGCUCACCAAGCCGACGAUGGAUAGGGGAACGUGAGAGGUUGGUCCCCCACCACUGGUACUGAGACACGGACCAGACUCCUACGGGAGGCAGCAGUGAGGAAUAUUGGUCAAUGGGCGGGAGCCUGAACCAGCCAAGUCGCGUGAAGGAAGAAGGAUCUAUGGUUCGUAAACUUCUUUUGCAGGGGAAUAAAGUGCAGGACGUGUCCUGUUUUGUAUGUACCCUGAGAAUAAGGAUCGGCUAACUCCGUGCCAGCCGCCGC